CUUUUCUGUGGUUUUAACAGCAAGACACAGCUCUGAAAGAAGUCAUAGUAUGCAAAUUUUCCGUUUUUCUUGAUAUCGUAUUUUGUCGUUAUUUGGUUAAUUUCUUCUUUGCUUAAAUCCAGAUGGAACUUCUCUACUAUUUCUAGGAACUCAGACACUGGGAUUUCUCCUAGCUUGCUGAUGUCCUUCUCUUGACACAGCUUCAGUAUGUCUCUCCAGGAACACUGGAUAUUCUUUCUUAUCUUAUUUUCUAUUUCUUCCCAUUUAGGGACAGGCACAGAACAUGCUGUUGUUGUCUGAGGACGGCUCGAUGCUGAUGUACUCUUCUGCCCCACUAGAGAAGAAGGUGUCUUGGGAUGCUCAGGCUGAGAAGAUGUGCAGGUAGCUGGGUUGGUAGAAGGCACGGGACUGGUAGCACUGGGAGUGGUUGAUGACAUUGUUAGAUGUUCUGAGCUGAAUUUCUUCAAGAAUUCCUGAUAUUUCAGUCAUCCACCAACACUGACAUCCACUGUGUUCCAAAGAUUUUCAAAUUGCUCUUCUGUC
This 543-nucleotide long non-coding RNA is filed under the name Gallus gallus (chicken). Lineage: Eukaryota; Metazoa; Chordata; Aves; Galliformes; Phasianidae. The record is from RNAcentral.